GAAAUCUUAUUAUUUCAGAUUCUGUUACAAAUGAAGGUACAUUUGAGUGCAAGCGCUAUGAAAACAUUUUCAUAAUUGAUCAGUGACUCUGAGCUGCAAUACAAAUUAGUUGCAGAAUUACUCAGGGUGAAAAUAGAGCCAAUUAGCACACAGUUGAUUGACCCCUUUCUGGUCAGGAUCCUUGAAUCUUAGCAGGUUCAUUUGUCUGCUCUCAAUUGUUAUUGAUGCAAUAGGAUGAGGAAAUGUUUCACCAACGUAAUGAGUCUAAGGGGGAUUUGAGUCACGUUUCAUGAAAUAAACAAUGCAGAAGCUUUUCUGAGCUGCCAGAGGUACCCAGACGAAAAGGGUAGAAACUGCAGAGUUCAACAUGAUGUAUGAUGAAACCAGGAGCAACUGCAUCUUAUCUUUUUAUAAUGGAAAAGUUUGGUAUUGUACUCUUCCACUUUUGCAGGUAACAGACCUUAAAGGCCACCAUACCCAGACAUCUCCUGGGUUGCAUGUUAUAUAGCUGCUGCUCAAGCUUAAAGGAGAGUUUCAUGGGGAAAAUGCCAUUAACUAAUGCUACUGAUUUCAGAACAGUCUGAAGAAAGAGCUGGUGAUUCACUGUGCUGCAUCAGGAAUGUGCUCAUGUGAAAUGGCACUGUAUGUACUGGCUCAUCACUAAAGGUUGUAACUGUGCUAAAAAAAAAAAAAAAAGGUUUUACACUUCAGAUGACCCAGUAUGUUUCAUUUGGUAAUUUGUGAGGUCACUCCAGAUCAGUUUAUUACAGAAGAGAUUUCACAAGGGAUUAUUUCAUUUUCUACUUCAGACGUUAGACAUCCAGAGGUCAAACUACCAAGUCACCAUCUGCAUUUUAUUGCUUUCAAAGUAGAAUAGAAUAGAAAAGCCCUUUAUUGUACAAAAAAUACAACAAAUUUGUGGGUGCUUCACUCAAAUACUGUACAAGAAAUAUAAAAACACAAAACAAGAUGCAUUAACACAAACGCAGCUCAGUAAAAAGAGCACUUGGUCAUUUCUAUGUUCAUGUAUUAUAAUAUAUAAACCCCGAUACCAUUAUUUGCCUUACAAAAGCAAAUAUGCAUGUCUGAAGUACAAAAACUAAAUUUAACAUUUUUUUGUACAUUUUAGCUUUUAUAAAUAAUAAUUAUUUGUCAUAGGCAAUACCAAAUACUUUGCUGAAGAAGGUUAACAUGGCAACAUUCAACAUACAUUUCAGAAUGAUUAGGACUGACUAAGAACAAAAUGUAUCCACUCUACAAGAAUCUUUUAGAAAUUCAUCUUUUUGCAAUAACAAGGUUUCUUCCUGUUAAAAGGGAGUUUUUCCUUCCCACUGU
Astatotilapia calliptera (eastern happy) is the source of this 1335-nucleotide long non-coding RNA. NCBI's taxonomy places the organism in Eukaryota, Metazoa, Chordata, Actinopteri, Cichliformes, Cichlidae. The record is from Ensembl.